Molecule: ribosomal RNA, 675 nt
Filed under: Salmonella enterica
Lineage: Bacteria; Pseudomonadati; Pseudomonadota; Gammaproteobacteria; Enterobacterales; Enterobacteriaceae
Also listed under: 1 other name
Description: bacterial SSU rRNA
Rfam family: Bacterial small subunit ribosomal RNA
Source: RNAcentral
CGGAGCUAACGCGUUAAGUAGACCGCCUGGGGAGUACGGCCGCAAGGUUAAAACUCAAAUGAAUUGACGGGGGCCCGCACAAGCGGUGGAGCAUGUGGUUUAAUUCGAUGCAACGCGAAGAACCUUACCUGGUCUUGACAUCCACAGAAGAAUCCAGAGAUGGAUUUGUGCCUUCGGGAACUGUGAGACAGGUGCUGCAUGGCUGUCGUCAGCUCGUGUUGUGAAAUGUUGGGUUAAGUCCCGCAACGAGCGCAACCCUUAUCCUUUGUUGCCAGCGGUUAGGCCGGGAACUCAAAGGAGACUGCCAGUGAUAAACUGGAGGAAGGUGGGGAUGACGUCAAGUCAUCAUGGCCCUUACGACCAGGGCUACACACGUGCUACAAUGGCGCAUACAAAGAGAAGCGACCUCGCGAGAGCAAGCGGACCUCAUAAAGUGCGUCGUAGUCCGGAUUGGAGUCUGCAACUCGACUCCAUGAAGUCGGAAUCGCUAGUAAUCGUGGAUCAGAAUGCCACGGUGAAUACGUUCCCGGGCCUUGUACACACCGCCCGUCACACCAUGGGAGUGGGUUGCAAAAGAAGUAGGUAGCUUAACCUUCGGGAGGGCGCUUACCACUUUGUGAUUCAUGACUGGGGUGAAGUCGUAACAAGGUAACCGUAGGGGAACCUGCGGUUGGA